Long non-coding RNA from Artibeus jamaicensis (Jamaican fruit-eating bat), 339 nucleotides. RefSeq lists it as uncharacterized. NCBI's taxonomy places the organism in Eukaryota, Metazoa, Chordata, Mammalia, Chiroptera, Phyllostomidae. The transcript has 3 exons. The record is from RefSeq and is a predicted model, not a curated record.
AAGGCGUCGGCUGGAUGGUCAGAGAUGCAGUGCAGAGACCCACACCCUCACAGAGCAGAGGAGCAUUUAUGGCCAGAGACAUCACAUUCACCCUCGAAUACAGUUUUACUGAAGAUUCAUUCUGUUUUUAAUCACAACAGAGCUGGGCAGAAUACAUGGGGCAACCGCUCCGAGCCAGUGGACAGCAGACCAUAGAAGACCAAGAUCUCUGAGAGGAGGGAGGAACCAGAAGGGUCAUCUUCGUCAACAGCAGCCACAAAAGAGAAGAAGGAAAAAGGAAAGGAAAAAAUAACCAGUACUCAUGUUAACAUUUGUCCUUGACUUCUCUGGAAAUAGAAU